CAGCAGCCGCGGGAAUACGUAGGGUGCGAGCGUUAAUCGGAAUUACUGGGCGUAAAGCGUGCGCAGGCGGUUGUGUAAGACAGGUGUGAAAUCCCCGGGCUUAACCUGGGAACUGCGCUUGUGACUGCACAGCUAGAGUAUGGCAGAGGGGGGUGGAAUUCCACGUGUAGCAGUGAAAUGCGUAGAGAUGUGGAGGAACACCGAUGGCGAAGGCAGCCCCCUGGGCCAAUACUGACGCUCAUGCACGAAAGCGUGGGGAGCAAACAGGAUUAGAUACCCCUGUAGUCCCUGUCUCUUAUAU
RNAcentral lists this ribosomal RNA (301 nucleotides) under uncultured bacterium. RNAcentral describes it as "partial 16S ribosomal RNA". It matches the Rfam family "Bacterial small subunit ribosomal RNA", at positions 509 to 809 of the family's 1533-position model. The record is from RNAcentral.